This 496-nucleotide ribosomal RNA is filed under the name uncultured bacterium. Its description in RNAcentral is "partial 16S ribosomal RNA". It matches the Rfam family "Bacterial small subunit ribosomal RNA", at positions 28 to 507 of the family's 1533-position model. The record is from RNAcentral.
GAUGAACGCUGGCGGCGUGCCUAAUACAUGCAAGUCGAGCGAACGGACGAGAAGCUUGCUUCUCUGAUGUUAGCGGCGGACGGGUGAGUAACACGUGGAUAACCUACCUAUAAGACUGGGAUAACUUCGGGAAACCGGAGCUAAUACCGGAUGAUAUUUUGAACCGCAUGGUUCAAAAGUGAAAGACGGUCUUGCUGUCACUUAUAGAUGGAUCCGCGCUGCAUUAGCUAGUUGGUAAGGUAACGGCUUACCAAGGCAACGAUGCAUAGCCGACCUGAGAGGGUGAUCGGCCACACUGGAACUGAGACACGGUCCAGACUCCUACGGGAGGCAGCGUAGGGAAUCUUCCGCAAUGGGCGAAAGCCUGACGGAGCAACGCCGCGUGAGUGAUGAAGGCCUUCGGAUCGUAAAACUCUGUUAUUAGGGAAGAACAUAUGUGUAAGUAACUGUGCACAUCUUGACGGUACCUAAUCAGAAAGCCACGGCUAACUACGUG